AAAAAGUACAUUAUUCGAUUUUUUCGCUGAUAUUUAUUGUAUGAACGAUUCCAUUACGAUUAGCAUUACAGUUUCGAAACUUCUACCAAUGGCUGUGAUUGGUUGUUUCAUUCGGCAUCCUUUCAUUUCGACCAAUCAGACACGUCGCUGUGUCUGAUUUGUGACGCAGUACAGCAUUCCUCUUCGAAGCUUCGUUCGUCUUGCACGUGUCUGCAACAGGGUGCAAUGCGCGGAGUGUGGUGGCGUACAACAGUCGUCUCGAAGCUUCGUCCGUUUGGCACGUGUCUGCAACAGGUAUCGGCCGAUAGCAGAAUAUACCGAACAUUGCCGAGUGUUGCCGAAGUGCCGACCGGUCUACGAUGGGAAGGAAGGUCUCGCCAUUGCUCUCUCGAGCGUCGAAGUGAGAAGACGUGUCGAGGUCGUGCUCCCGUA
This is a long non-coding RNA of Osmia bicornis bicornis, 432 nucleotides long. RefSeq lists it as uncharacterized. The record is from RefSeq and is a predicted model, not a curated record. The transcript has 3 exons. NCBI's taxonomy places the organism in Eukaryota, Metazoa, Arthropoda, Insecta, Hymenoptera, Megachilidae.